Molecule: long non-coding RNA, 7234 nt
Filed under: Eucalyptus grandis
Lineage: Eukaryota; Viridiplantae; Streptophyta; Magnoliopsida; Myrtales; Myrtaceae
Description: long non-coding RNA (EGRA_LNC001832)
Source: RNAcentral
GGUCAUGCAAUUGCGACAUUCCCAGGUAGUGUCGCCGACCCUAUUCAUUUAUUAUUACGCAAGCGGAACGUAUUAUAAAACUCCUGACAAUGAAAUACGGGAUAGAAAAGCAGGAAACAAUUUCACAACCAAUCACUUACUCAAACCAACGAAGUUACAGACGAAGGCCUACAGCCAAAAGUCUACGAAAGAUCGACUCUUAAAAAUGAACUGUCCUACAACCUACAAGUCGGACGCGCUCUCCAAUCCUUAUGACUUCACCUCUGCAACUCCUCAAGGCCAACCAAAGCUAUCUAGCCGCUCCAUCCACCGGGGACCUGAAAUGGUUAUUCAAUAACCACUGAGACAACGUCUCAGCAAGUUCAACCCCCUAAACCCCUAUUAGAAAGAAAAUACACCCAAAGGUGGCCAAAUCACAUCACACAGAGAACUUACCUCACCUCAAUUCCUUCCUGCAGGUUAGCACAAUUUGUAUCACAUAAUCUCAAGUAGUAAUAAUAAUUCAAACAAUUGGAACGCCAUCACUUUCAUAUAAAUCACGAUCGCACUUAGCACGCAUUCCAAUUAUUAUUCACUGUCACACAAUGGCAUAGCCCACUCACAGGUCGACUAUCUAUUAACAUUACGACAUUUCGAGAAGAAUAAGCCACGUCAUUCUAUCGACGGCAUUUCUAGAAGAAUAAAGGUCCAGUUGGUCUCGCCACUACUGCGACCAAGCCACGUCGUUCUAUCGACAACAUUUCUAGAAGAAUAAAGGUCCAGUUGGUCUCGCCACUACUGCGACCAAGCCACGUCGUUCUAUCGACAGCACUUCUAGAAGAAUAAAGGUCCAGUCGGUCUCGCCACUACUGCGACCAAGCCACGUCGUUCUAUCGACAGCACUUCUAGAAGAAUAAAGGUCCAGUCGGUCUCGCCACUACUGCGACCAAGCCACGUCGUUCUAUCGACAGCACUUCUAGAAGAAUAAAGGUCCAGUCGGUCUCGCUACUACCGCGACCAAGCCACGUCGUUCUAUCGACAGCACUUCUAGAAGAAUAAAGGUCCAGUCGGUCUCGCCACUACUGCGACCAAGCCACGUCGUUCUAUUGACAGCAUUUCUAGAAGAAUAAAGGUCCAGUCGGUCCCGCCACUACUGCGACCCGAGCCUUUCAACUAGCACACGACCAUUCGAUACCGAUCCUUGUAUACUUUACAUUCCACUCACAUAAUCCAAUUACAAUAUUAGCCAUUAACAAUCCAAUUUCAAUGCCGAACUCGACACUUGCGAUUUUAUGAAUAAAAUCCAUAUUUAUCACAAUCAACAUUCAAUUUGCCACAAUCAAUCAUCAAAUUCAAAUUCUAAAUACACAGCAACGAUCGGCAUGAAAUUCUGAGAGUUUAGGGUCCCGACGAAAUUUUUGAAUUUUAAUAAAUAAUAAAUUUUAUUCCAAAAAUUAAUUAAAUAAUAAUAUCCAUAUUUUUCGCAAUCCACGCUCAAUUUAUAAUAUCCAACCAUCAAUUUCAAAAUCCGAAUACACAGCAGCGAUUGGCACGAAAUUCUGAGCAACCGGGGUCAAAAAUAAUUUUUUCGUUUUUUUUUAAUAAUAAUAUUUUAAUAAUUUCGGAUUAUAAAAUAAUAUUAUAUUUUCCAGAAUUUCGAAGCAUUUAAAUAAUUCAAAACUAAAAUCCUUUUAUGUCACAUCAAGGCUUAACUUUAAAUAAGUUCUUUUAACCUUUAAUUUAAACACACUUAACAUAAACCAACCUCUUAAUCCAAUUUAUAAUUAAAUACACUAAUCCACCCACAUAAACUUACUUAAUUCCAACUAAGCACACUUAGGGCAUCAUUAACACUCUAAUCAAGAUUUAGUGAGUUAAACUCACCGGAUUAGCGAGCCGAGCGAACCAAAACGACGAGGACGACGAGGGGAUCGGCUUUCUCCAAAGCGGGCCAAGCAUCCGGGGUCGGGAAGCCAACCAAAACGGCCCAACACUUGCUGCCAUACCCAUUUUCUGCAGCUACUGUCCACUGUUCGAUGAGGCCGAGAAUGGGCGGAUCCGGGGCUUGGAUGAGAUGGAAAAGGACCGAGGAAGGUUGAGGGGUCGAACCGGACCAAGGCGGGACCCGAACGGUGGCCGGAGGUGGCCGAAUGGCUUCGGCACGAGCUGUUGCAGCAGUUGCGACGCCAGGCGAGUGGGAGGCGGAGACGGUGCUACGGCGGGCCGGCGAGCACGCGUAGGCGGGGCGGGACGGACGCACGGCGGCGGCGGCGACGACGGCGUGCGAGCGGGUGGCCGGCCAUGGCUGCUUCUUCUUCUUCUCUGCAAAUUUUUCUUGUCCUUCGCACAAAGAACAUGGGGGAGUCGCACGGAAGAGAGAGAGGAAGAAGAGAGGGAGGAGAGAGAAGAAGGGGGGGCUUUUUCUUUUCUUUUUCUCUUUCUUUUAUUCAACAAAAAUGGCCCACCAUGACCUAGGAUGACAUCACACUCCACUAUCUCCCACAACCUCUUCCAAUGGGUGCAAUUCCAUUUUCCGCCGGGGCCUAAAACUUGUGCAACAAUGUCUUCAAUUCCACUUAAUUCUCUUCCAAUUAAAUCUUAAUCCCACUUGAAUUAAAUCAAAUUGACCCUCAUUAAUUCAUUCAACACCUCAUCAAUCAAAUUGGUAUUUUUUUCAUUACCAUUGUGGCGUAUUUGCAUCCCAAUUUCGCAAUCUCUGGCUUCAAUUGAACGAAAACGGCCCUAUUUAUCCAUUCGAAAUUAAAACCCGAAAAUCCGGAUGUCACAACUCUUCCCCCUUAUAAAGAUUUCGUCCUCGAAAUUUAAACUUUUACUAAUUCUUAACAAUGAGGUGAGGGUAUAGUCGUCUCAUAUCCUUUUCUCUUUCUCAGGUUGCUUUUUCUGCACUAAUGUUGCCAGAUCACUACUAUCUUGCCCAAACCACUUCGGAUCCAAAAUACUAAACACUUGCCCACUUAAAAUUCUAAAGGUCUUCAACAUAAAAUCUGCGAAGCUAAACUGGUGAUUAUCAGCGAUCUCAAGAUUAUCUCUGGUAACUGCGAUUGAAUCACUGAUUUCUGAACCAACUCUAGACCUGCGAUUUUCUGAUCUCUGAUCUCAACAACUGAAGUUCUGAACACUCUGCUUUGCGUUGAUUAAAAUAAACUAUCUGACUAAUCUGCUAAAAUUGGGAACCUCUGGUCAAGAUCUGAUAUAAUUCUGGCACUGAUCUUAGCAACUACAAUCACUGACUACUGUACAGACAUUGGCUUGUGAUCUUUCUUUCCUUGACUUCAUCUCUGCAAUUGAAAUUCUACACUUUAUGCUAUGCAUUGAUUAAGGAAGAACCUUCUGAAAAUUCUACCAAACUUAUAAUCUACGAUAUGGAUCCGAAAUAUAAUUCAUCCCCGGCACUCCAUGUUGGUGAAUUAUCUAAUGCUCGCACACUUCAGUAUACCCACUUUGUGACAAGACAGAGUCCUCAAUUUCUGAAAUCAAAUUUAGAUUGGCGGUUAAUUUCACUCCGACACGCUUUUAGUGUGACCUAGGCUAUUGGGUAGUGUUCAGAGCUUUUUAGGACAAAUGACUUGUGGUCGAUUUUCUUCGAACCACGAUGAACUCACUCGACACAUUGGCGACUCUCAAUUAUCGUGAAAAUCUUAAAGAUUCAAAUACGGACACAGGGUACCAAACCGACAGUAAAGUCAAAUUAGUGCCAGUCGACGAGAGUUUUCCAAUUUAGUGGAGUCACCCACGAUCGGUCAUUCAUCUCAGUCAAACCAACCUAUCUCUGAUCUUAAUUCGAUUUUUAACUGUGCCGUAAUGAUCUCUAAAGAUGAGCACGGUCGAAAAGUCGAUUUCUGGUCGAAUUCUCAAGUCUAUUUGCCUUAAGGUCCUUAAUAACUCACCCAACUAGUUUAGUUAUCUCGUAAGUGGCCAACUCAGAGAAAAAUACUGUAAUCGUGUUGAUGAAAUGCCCAAUUUAACCAAUCGAAAUCAGAGUUUGAAAAUUAGGAUGUCACACGCUCAAAACAAGAUCUAUUCAUAAUGUACCAAAGUGGACCAACUCCAUCUAUCGGUCGACUAUUAUUCUCAAAUGGUAUCAGUAAUCCCCUGAAUCCUUAGUAAGCUCAUCACAAUGUCCCAUUGUGAUAUAUUUUCAUUCUCACUUAGGACUCUCAAGUGAUGAUAAAAGUCCUCCUGGUUCACAUCACUGAACUUCCACUUACUGACAUCUCUGAUACUUGCAACUUGUUCAACGAUAUCUAUCUUCAUACCGAUCUACCAAUCUCGAUGAUGUAGAUUCUGACUCAUCUUCGCACUGUCUAGACGACUCUAAAUUGCUUUGAUGAACUUCCCAUAAGAUCUCUUCUUAAAUCUCCGUAUCGACAAUUACAUACAAUCGUUCUCAGAACCUUAGCAUUCUGCCUUUGGAAAUCUGAAAUCAAUCUCUCUCUCAUCUGCAUUCUCUUAUAGAAUCUUCUGAAUUUCUGAAUAUGUCCAUUGAAGCAUCUUGAUUAUGAUUAGUACUCUCGGCUCAAUUCUUUCUAGAGUGACAUAAAAUAUCAUAGUCAUAAUCCUUAAUGAGUUCCGUCCAGCGACACUGUCUCAUAUUCAACUCCCGAGGUCUCAACUGACGGGCCACAUACGCAACACGAGUCAUCCAAAACUCGCAUCUGCUAAGCUUAUUGUAAAAUCCAAGAGUACUCAAGGUCUGAAGUAUCAUCCUCGAACGUCUCUUGUGCCCCUCGGCACUCUUCGAACACACUAGGAUAACUUCAAUAAACACGAUCACAACUGAUUCAAGUACCCUUAAACAUUUCGCUCAUUAGACCCAAACAAACAGCUAAGGUGUCCAUCAAACCACACGGUAUUACAAUGAACUCAUAAUUGCCAUAUCGAGUACGAGAUGCUAACUUCGGUGUGUCUUUCUUCUUGAUUCUCAACUAAUGAUACCUUGACCUCCAGUCGAUCUUGAAGAAUAUCGAUAUACAAACACAAUGAAUCAACUUUCUUCCUCACGAAUAGAACGGGUGCUCCCCAAGGUUAUGCACUGGAAAGUAUGAAUCUCCUAUCCAACACUUCCUGCAUUUGCACCUUCAGUCCUUUUAACUCAGGUAAAACCAUCCGGUAAGGAGCCUUAGGAACUGGCUCUGGUCCGGGUGCUGAUUCAAUUGCAAACUUUAUUUCUCUUUCUGAUAGCAACUUGACAAAUCUUCAGAAAAUACCUUUAGAAAACUUAUGUACCACGAUUAAGUUUUCCAUAUUCGGCUCCUCAACUGACACAUCCAUUAUCCAUUAUAGUUGCCAAGUAGAUUCGGUAACCAACAACCAUAACCGGGUCACCUUUAGUGACGAAUAACAAUGAUUGAAGUUCCUCUUCAACUUUCAGUGCUUCAAAACUUUCACACGCUAACUGAACAAACUGAAUUAUAUCACUGCCAUGAUUCAUAAUAGCAGAAAGCUCCUCGAGCCAAACCUUUUCAUAAAUGACUUCCAAGUCAUACUUAAGCAACCCUUCAAGUACAACUAUAGUCAGAGACUCAUCUUUCUAUCACUUUAUUACCACGACGAAAAUCUUAUAACCUUCACUGAAAAUUCUGCUGUACUACUCUGAUAACAUCUCAAAAACAUUCUUCUUCUGAUUGAUGCAUGGUCAAUCCCUUCAUGCUCCUCUAGCCAUCCUAGCGGCGUCCAAUCUGCAGUAACGGUACUUACGCUCUCAUGGACUUACGCGGACAAUUCCUAACCCAAUGAUCGUGCUAGCCAUAUUCCAGCGUGCUCUCUUUUUACUCUGACAUUGGGCUGACUCACUCUCUUUUUCCACAAACUCAGCACACAAUCGGUGAGUCAUCUACUUCCCAUCAAGGAACAUCAUGCACCAUUCCUUGCACUGGGGUCUGUUCCAAGUACCCCACUAAAUGUCCCGUAGCAUGUUUCCCAUGUUCUGUCUUAUCAACGACGAUGCAGAAACAGUUAUAGUUCCAUCCAUCUAUACGAGCCAUCUUUGAUCAAAUGGCUUUACUGGCGACACCUGUAACAAGUCAUUUCCCUCUUACAGCAUGGGACAGACCCACGUCCUUUCUUACAGACACAACAUACAUCAAUCAAGUUGAGCACUGACUUUCGAAUUCUACUCUUCCAGUUGGGUGAAACAGGGCAUCUUUCUUUUGACAUCGGCCUUUCUCCCCAAUCAAUUUCUACCUCUAUCUAAACUGAACCUUGACUCAGAUACAGCGGCUUAAUCCUCGAUCACAACUCCAGAUUAGACCUCAACAGGCGCAACAACAACAGCGGUCACAACACUGGCAGCGGUAGACACAACGGCAACAGCAAUGGCUCGAUCCUGAACUUACUGACCCAACAAGCUUCCAAGGAACGCUAGUGCCUGAACGAUCCCAUCAAACCUAGGAUCAUUCGGUGCUACUACACUCUAAGUACCGACUUGCGGCGGUACUCUCACACUCGCGCUGGUCUAAGCCUGCGCCCUACCUCGGGUACCAACUCUUGUCAGCAUCCUACCCCGAGGUAUAGGUCCUACCGGCCUUCUCCAAGGAGUUCUCCACUCCUGGUCACUCAUCCUACAGGCUCUUUAUAGACACCUGUCUUCCGAUUCUAACAUCAAGUUAGAAUUUGAGUGACCCAACAAACAUACUACCAAUCAACUAUCAACCACAUGCAUCAGCAUAUUAAAAGCCUUUCCUACUAACUAUCCCAUGACUCAUCGCACCUUAUCACUCCAUACACAGACCAUGCUCUGAUACCACUUAAACGGGGAUGUCACGCCCCGAACCUCGAGGUAUGCCAACAUCCCACCAUGGUCAUGCAAUUGCGACAUUCCCAGGUAGUGUCGCUGACCCUAUUCAUUUAUUAUUGCGCAAGCGGAACGUAUUAUAAAACCCCUGACAAUGAAAUACGGGAUAGAAAAACAGGAAACAAUUUCACAACCAAUCACUUACUCAAACCAACGAAGUUACAGACGAAGGCCUACAGCCAAAAGUCUACGAAAGAUCGACUCUUAAAAAUGAACUGUCCUACGACCUACAAGUCGGACAUGCUCUCCAAUCCUUAUGACUUCACCUCUGCAACUCCUCAAGGCCAACCAAAGCUAUCUGGCCGCUCCGUCCACCGGGGACCUGAAAUGGUUAUUCAAUAACCACUGAGACAACGUCUCAGCAAGUUCAACCCCCUAAACCCCUAUUAGAAAGAAAAUACGCCCAAAGGUGGCCUAAUCACAUCACACAGAGAACUUACC